UUGCUAAGUAGGCUGAGAUUGAUGUCAGGUUAUCCCCAAGCAUAACCUCACUCUCACCUUGCUCUGCAG
MicroRNA precursor from Cercocebus atys (sooty mangabey), 69 nucleotides. Lineage: Eukaryota; Metazoa; Chordata; Mammalia; Primates; Cercopithecidae. The record is from Ensembl.